Molecule: ribosomal RNA, 704 nt
Filed under: Demodex folliculorum
Lineage: Eukaryota; Metazoa; Arthropoda; Arachnida; Trombidiformes; Demodicidae
Description: partial 28S ribosomal RNA
Rfam family: Eukaryotic large subunit ribosomal RNA
Source: RNAcentral
GAGGAAACUCUGGUGGAAGUCUUGAGCGAUUCUGACGUGCAAAUCGAUCGUCAGACCUGGGUAUAGGGGCGAAAGACUAAUCGAACCAUCUAGUAGCUGGCUUCCUCUGAAGUUUCCCUCAGGAUAGCUGGCACUAAUAGAGAAAAGAUCAAUAGCAUCCGGUAAAGAGAAUGAUUAGAGGUACUGGGAUCGAAACGAUUUCAACCUAUUUUCAAACUUUCAAUGGUUGCGAAGUUUAACUUAUUGAAAAUUUUACUCUCUAAAGUUAAACAUAACAAAAAUUAUAAAAUAAAAAAGUAUGAAUAGUGCCUAGUGGGCCAUUUUUGGUAAGCAGAACUGGCGCUGUGGGAUGAACCAAACGUUAGGUUAAAGCGCCCAAUGCUAACGCUAAUAAGAUUCCAUGAAAGGUGUUGGUUGCUACAGACAGCAGGACGGUGGCCAUGGAAGUUGGAAUCCGCUAAGGAGUGUGUAACAACUCACCUGCCGAAGCAACUAGCCCUGAAAAUGGAUGGCGCUUAAGCGUUGAGCUUAUACCUAACCAUAAUGUCAAUUUAUAAUAGUUGUAUGUAUUAAUUUAAAAGUUGAUAUAUAUAGCUUAAAGAGGAGAAGACAUUAUGAGUAAGAGGAACGCAAUGAUAGCGUCGAAGGGAUUAGAUUUAAGUCUGCCUGGAGCUUUCAUUGUUGCAGAUCUUGGUGGUAGUAGC